GCCCCCGUGGACCGUGGCGGUCCCGUUUGCUUCCUGUAGUGGUUACAUAAGACUAAGUUAUGAAGGAGGAGACGGGGGUUCGAUUCCUCCCGGGGGCA
Non-coding RNA from Mycena latifolia, 98 nucleotides. Lineage: Eukaryota; Fungi; Basidiomycota; Agaricomycetes; Agaricales; Mycenaceae. The record is from the annotation of a GenBank genome assembly.